ACGAUGAGCACUAGGUGUCGGGAUCGCAAGAUUUCGGUGCCGCAGUUAACGCAUUAAGUGCUCCGCCUGGGGAGUACGUACGCAAGUAUAAAACUCAAAGGAAUUGACGGGGACCCGCACAAGCAGCGGAGCAUGUGGUUUAAUUCGAAGCAACGCGAAGAACCUUACCAGAGCUUGACAUCUUCCUGACAGGUCUUUAAUCGGACAAUUCUUCGGACAGGAAAGACAGGUGGUGCAUGGCUGUCGUCAG
Molecule: ribosomal RNA, 250 nt
Filed under: uncultured bacterium
Lineage: Bacteria
Description: partial 16S ribosomal RNA
Rfam family: Bacterial small subunit ribosomal RNA
Source: RNAcentral